ACGCUGGGAAAGGACAAGUGCCGGUGACACUGCUCGUGGCACGGCCAGUAACUCCCUUUUAAGAUGUGAUUUUGGAGAAGAAAUAGUCCUUCUUGGAGACUCGGUGCUCCAUCUGUAAGCCGUCGGCGUUUAGCCGGGACGUGACUGCUCCGUUAAGGACCCCAACUGCCAGCUCCCGUCGCAGCCCGUCAGGCCAUGUUCACGGAGCUCUUAUCAAUAGAUGGACGUGAGCAGAUCGGACUCUGCAGCUUUUCCUUGCUCGCUUACGAGCAAACCUCCGGCCCUAGAGUUCUGGUCCUUCUCUCUCUUCACAAACUGGAAGCGCUUCCACCAGCGGGCACUCGGAAGCUGCAUGUUGAGGAUGGCAGUCGCUGUCCCUCCCUCUGAACCACCGAGCAGACGCAGCCGUCCACCUGCGUGGAACACUGCCCGGGACCACGCUGCCCCGGACCUCCGGACAAACCACCCUCCCGUCGCCAGGAAACAUCCACGAAGACAUCUCUCUCCCCCUCUUCUUAACCAUCACAUCCAAUACCUGUCCCCCACAUUUUCUGUGGCGGCUUUGAGUGUGUAAUCUUGCACGGUCCGGAUCAGCUCUAACAUUCCAUGAAGAUCCCACAAAACCACUCGGUGACAUCAUGCAAGAUUGGAUAGGCUGGCGGGAGAGGCAUUUGGGGGCUCUCUCUAGAGCCCCUCACAUCACAAGACAGAGGAAGCUGCGGACUUUUCCUCCCAGGGCUGUACCCGAAGCAUAUGGAAGUUCCUGGGCUAGGAGUCAAGUCGGAGCUGCAGCUGCUGGCCUACAGCACAGCCUCAGCAAUGUGGGAUCCAGGCCGCAUCUGCAACCUACACCACAGCUCACGGCAACUCCGGAUCCUUAACCCACUGGGCAAGACCAGGAAUCGAACCCGCAGCCUCAUGGAUCCUAGUCUGGUUGGUUACUGCUGAGCCAUGACAGAAACUCCAGAAGUGAUCUUAUCAUCCUGGCAUUGCUGUAACCUCCUCAUUCAACCACUGGGAGAACAGAUGUUCCACCCCCACCCCUAAGAAAGUUCCCUGUUACCUACUGGACAGUCUGACUUCUUCGGAUUAUCAUCCAAGCUCCUUUGCAUGUGACCCUCUCUCUAGCCCCAUCCUCUCCACAGCUCUGCCCAGUGCCUGUGGCCCGUGACUCUGAGCUACAGGCCAUUAUCCAAACAGUGCUUGCAUGGGCACACCUCCUGCCUUUGCUCGGGCAGGAAUGCCCUUCCUCAUGUUACCUGCCUGGUGAAUUCCUCCUCAUCCUUCAAGAUCCAGGUCCAAUAUCACCUGAGACACCCUCUUCUGAGACACUCCCUUCCCAGCUGGUCUUUCCCUCUUGUCUGUUCCUAAAGUGCUUUGC
Molecule: long non-coding RNA, 1381 nt
Filed under: Sus scrofa (pig)
Lineage: Eukaryota; Metazoa; Chordata; Mammalia; Artiodactyla; Suidae
Description: lncRNA (ENSSSCG00055025747.1)
Source: RNAcentral